Molecule: ribosomal RNA, 551 nt
Filed under: Perennicordyceps cuboidea
Lineage: Eukaryota; Fungi; Ascomycota; Sordariomycetes; Hypocreales; Polycephalomycetaceae
Description: eukaryotic LSU rRNA
Rfam family: Eukaryotic large subunit ribosomal RNA
Source: RNAcentral
AGUAACGGCGAGUGAAGCGGCAACAGCUCAAAUUUGAAAUCUGGCCCUCCCUUUCGGGGGCCCGAGUUGUAAUUUGCAGAGGAUGCUUCUGGCGCGGCGCCUUCCGAGUUCCCUGGAACGGGACGCCAUAGAGGGUGAGAGCCCCGUCUGGUUGGACGCCUAGCCUCUGUGAAGCACCUUCGACGAGUCGAGUAGUUUGGGAAUGCUGCUCAAAAUGGGAGGUAUAUGUCUUCUAAAGCUAAAUACCGGCCAGAGACCGAUAGCGCACAAGUAGAGUGAUCGAAAGAUGAAAAGCACUUUGAAAAGAGGGUUAAACAGUACGUGAAAUUGUUGAAAGGGAAGCGCUCAUGACCAGACUUGGGCCCCGCGCAUCACCCGGCGUUCUCGCCGGGGCACUUCGCAGGGCCCAGGCCAGCAUCGGUUUGCGGCGGGGGAUAAAGGCUUCGGGAACGUGGCUCCCUCGGGAGUGUUAUAGCCCGCUGCGCAAUGCCCUGCUGCGGACCGAGGUUCGCGCUUUCCGCAAGGAUGCUGGCGUAAUGGUCAUCAGCGAC